UACGUAGGGUGCAAGCGUUACUCGGAAUUACUGGGCGUAAAGCGUGCGCAGGCGGUUAUGUAAGACAGGUGUGAAAUCCCCGGGCUUAACCUGGGAACUGCAUUUGUGACUGCAUAGCUAGAGUACGGUAGAGGGGGAUGGAAUUCCGCGUGUAGCAGUGAAAUGCGUAGAUAUGCGGAGGAACACCGAUGGCGAAGGCAAUCCCCUGGACCUGUACUGACGCUCGUGCACGAAAGCGUGGGGAGCAAACAGG
RNAcentral lists this ribosomal RNA (253 nucleotides) under uncultured bacterium. RNAcentral describes it as "partial 16S ribosomal RNA". It matches the Rfam family "Bacterial small subunit ribosomal RNA", at positions 524 to 776 of the family's 1533-position model. The record is from RNAcentral.